This 1491-nucleotide long non-coding RNA is filed under the name Cyanistes caeruleus (blue tit). RNAcentral's name for it is "lncRNA (ENSCCEG00000001509.1)". The record is from RNAcentral. Lineage: Eukaryota; Metazoa; Chordata; Aves; Passeriformes; Paridae.
AUGGUGGGGCAGGGACCUUUCCUGGACCAGGGACCUUUCCAGGGAUCUCUCCUGGAUCAGGGAUCUCUCCUGGGCCAGGGAUCUCUCCUGGGGCAGGGACCUUUCCAGGGAUCUCUCCUAGAUCAGGGAUCUCUCCUGGAUCAGGGAAUCACUCCUGGAUCAGGGAUCUCUCCUGGAUCAGGGACUUUUCCAGGGAUCUCUCCUGGAUCAGGGAUCUCUCCUGGAUCAGGGACCUUUCCAGGGAUCACUCCUGGAUCAGGGAUCUCUCCUGGACCAGGGACGUUUCCAGGGAUCUCUCCUGGAUCAGGGAUCUCUCCUGGAUCAGAGAUCUCUCCUGGGCCAGGGACCUUUCCAAGGAUCUCUCCUGGGGCAGGGACCUUUCCAGGGAUCUCUCCUGGGCCAGGGAUCUCUCCUGGAUCAGGGAUCACUCCUGGAUCAGGGAUCUCUCCUGGAUCAGGGAUCACUCCUGGAUCAGGGAUCACUCCUGGGCCAGGGACCUUUCCUGGAUCAGGGACCUUUCCAGGGAUCUCUCCUGGAGUGAAUCCUCACAGGCACCAGGGGCAGAUGAUGCCCUGCACACCCAGAGCACCCUCAGCUCAUGCUAACGCUGCAUCCACCAUCCUGGAAAUCUUAUCCCAGCUCAGUGAUCAUCCCAUGAUUCUACACCUCUGGUCCUCCCAGCCCGACGGUGCCUGCUCCAUCCAGCAGGGCACAGAUCUGUUUGGGGGAGGAGAUCCCGGUUUGGGGGAACAAAAACACCACCAGGAUUUUCCAGGGCCGUUAUCUCAUCCGGCUGCGGUGGAACGGAUCCCGGGAAAGCCACGNNNNNNNNNNNNNNNNNNNNAUCUCUCCUGGAUCAGGGACCUUUCCAGGGAUCUCUCCUGGACCAGGGACCUUUCCAGGGAUCUCUCCUGGAUCAGGGAUCUCUCCUGGAUCAGAGAUCUCUCCUGGGCCAGGGACCUUUCCAAGGAUCUCUCCUGGAUCAGGGAUCACUCCUGGAUCAGGGAUCUCUCCUGGGGCAGGGACCUUUCCAGGGAUCUCUCCUGGAUCAGGGAAUCACUCCUGGAUCAGGGAUCUCUCCUGGAUCAGGGACUUUUCCAGGGAUCUCUCCUGGAUCAGGGAUCUCUCCUGGAUCAGGGACCUUUCCAGGGAUCACUCCUGGAUCAGGGAUCUCUCCUGGACCAGGGACGUUUCCAGGGAUCUCUCCUGGAUCAGGGAUCUCUCCUGGAUCAGAGAUCUCUCCUGGGCCAGGGACCUUUCCAAGGAUCUCUCCUGGGGCAGGGACCUUUCCAGGGAUCUCUCCUGGGCCAGGGAUCUCUCCAGGAUCAGAGAUCUCUCCUGGAUCAGGGACCUUUCCAGGGAUCUCUCCUGGAUCAGGGACCUUUCCAGGGAUCUCUCCUGGGUCAGGGAUCACUCCUGGAUCAGGGAUCACUCCUGGGCCAGGGACCUUUCCUGGAUCAGGGACCUUUCCAGGGAUCUCUCCUGGAGUGA